UACAGAGGGUGCAAGCGUUGUUCGGAAUUAUUGGGCGUAAAGGGCGCGUAGGCGGUGCUGUAAGUCUGUAGUGAAAUCUCUGGGCUCAACUCAGAGUCUGCUAUAGAAACUGCAGUGCUGGAGUGUGGGAGAGGUGAGUGGAAUUCCCGGUGUAGCGGUGAAAUGCGUAGAUAUCGGGAAGAACAUCGGUGGCGAAGGCGGUCUGGCUGGG
This 211-nucleotide ribosomal RNA is filed under the name uncultured bacterium. Its description in RNAcentral is "partial 16S ribosomal RNA". It matches the Rfam family "Bacterial small subunit ribosomal RNA", at positions 524 to 733 of the family's 1533-position model. The record is from RNAcentral.